UGCUCUGAUGAUAACUAAUAGGAAGUGCCUUCAGAAGCGAUAACUGACGAUAACUACUCCUGGCUGACC
Small nucleolar RNA from Fukomys damarensis (Damara mole-rat), 69 nucleotides. NCBI's taxonomy places the organism in Eukaryota, Metazoa, Chordata, Mammalia, Rodentia, Bathyergidae. The record is from Ensembl.